This 265-nucleotide ribosomal RNA is filed under the name uncultured Thauera sp. RNAcentral's name for it is "partial 16S ribosomal RNA". It matches the Rfam family "Bacterial small subunit ribosomal RNA", at positions 1115 to 1382 of the family's 1533-position model. The record is from RNAcentral. Lineage: Bacteria; Pseudomonadati; Pseudomonadota; Betaproteobacteria; Rhodocyclales; Zoogloeaceae.
UUGCCAUCAUUUAGUUGGGCACUCUAGUGAGACUGCCGGUGACAAACCGGAGGAAGGUGGGGAUGACGUCAAGUCCUCAUGGCCCUUAUGGUAGGGCUUCACACGUCAUACAAUGGUCGGUACAGAGGGUUGCCAAGCCGCGAGGUGGAGCCAAUCCCUUAAAGCCGAUCGUAGUCCGGAUCGUAGUCUGCAACUCGACUACGUGAAGUCGGAAUCGCUAGUAAUCGCAGAUCAGCAUGCUGCGGUGAAUACGUUCCCGGGUCUU